CGCCGCGUGAGUGAUGACGGCUCUUCGGGUCUGUAAACCUCUUUCAUCAGGGACGAAGCGCAGGUGACGGUACCUGCAGAAGAAGCACCGGCCAACUACGUGCCAGCAGCCGCGGUAAUACUUACGGUGCGAGCGUUGUCCGGAAUUACUGGGCGUAAAGAGUUCGUAGGCGGUUUGUCGCGUCGUCUGUGAAAACCCACCGCUCAACGGUGGGCCUGCAGGCGAUACGGGCAGACUUGAGUACUGCAGGGGAGACUGGAAUUCCUGGUGUAGCGGUGAAAUGCGCAGAUGUCAGGAGGAACACCGGUGGCGAAGGCGGGUCUCUGGGCAGUAACUGACGCUUAGGAACGAAAGCGUGGGUAGCAAACAGGAUUACAUACCCUGGUAGUCCACGCCGUAAACGGUGGGCGCUAGGUGUGGGUUCCUUCCACGGGAUCUGUGCCGUAUCUCACGCAUUAAGCGCCCCGCCUGGGGAGUACGGCCGCAAGGCUAAAACUCACAGGAAUUGACGGGGGCCCGCACAAGCGGCGGAGCAUGUGGAUUAAUUCGAUGCAACGCGAAGAACCUUACCUGGGUUUGACAUGUACUGGAAAGCCGUAGAGAUACGGCCCCCCUUG
This 617-nucleotide ribosomal RNA is filed under the name Rhodococcus sp. So1Pt_111. RNAcentral describes it as "bacterial SSU rRNA". It matches the Rfam family "Bacterial small subunit ribosomal RNA", at positions 395 to 1020 of the family's 1533-position model. Lineage: Bacteria; Bacillati; Actinomycetota; Actinomycetes; Mycobacteriales; Nocardiaceae. The record is from RNAcentral.